GGCUUAUCCACAGCCUCUUCCUUUUCUCCCACCUGUCAUCUCUAGUUUUUCUUCAUUUCUUUGCUGUCCGCCCACCCCAUCCCCUGCAGCUGAAGCGACCGAGUCCCUAAAGACAAGGCAGGUUGCCCGCGCGAAAGCACGGAGAGUUUGAACCCCGGGACUACAUCUGCCCUCUGCCCCUGACCUGGGCGUUCCCAGCGCCGCGCUUUCUGCGGGGCUUUCGACGAGCCCUGUGCACCGGACUGGGCUUCGCCGGGGGCGGUGAGGCGCCGCGCUACCCCCGAGGAGCCGCGCUGGGAGAAAUACAGAUGCAAAAGCAGGACGUGGGUAAAUGAGAGAAGAUAAGGUAUUGCUCCUGCAAGCGGAACAACCUGUCUUCAAAAUGGAUUUAACUCCUAGAAGCUCCAUGGGGUCCUGUCUAUAGCAGGGAUGUUGACUUAGGAUUUCCCACUGUUUUGAGACCUUCUCCAGCUCCACCAGUAUGGCACAGCAGAGAACUCCCACUCAUGCUUUUGAUCUUUU
Molecule: long non-coding RNA, 522 nt
Filed under: Serinus canaria (Common canary)
Lineage: Eukaryota; Metazoa; Chordata; Aves; Passeriformes; Fringillidae
Description: lncRNA (ENSSCAG00000007218.1)
Source: RNAcentral